GGCCUAACACAUGCAAGUCGAGCGCUACCUUCGGGUGGAGCGGCGGACGGGUUAGUAACGCGUGGGAACAUACCCUUCUCUAAGGAAUAGCCACUGGAAACGGUGAGUAAUACCUUAUACGCCCUUCGGGGGAAAGAUUUAUCGGAGAAGGAUUGGCCCGCGUUAGAUUAGAUAGUUGGUGGGGUAAUGGCCUACCAAGUCUACGAUCUAUAGCUGGUUUUAGAGGAUGAUCAGCAACACUGGGACUGAGACACGGCCCAGACUCCUACGGGAGGCAGCAGUGGGGAAUCUUAGACAAUGGGCGCAAGCCUGAUCUAGCCAUGCCGCGUGAGUGAUGAAGGUCUUAGGAUCGUAAAGCUCUUUCGCCAGGGAUGAUAAUGACAGUACCUGGUAAAGAAACCCCGGCUAACUCCGUGCCAGCAGCCGCGGUAAUACGGAGGGGGUUAGCGUUGUUCGGAAUUACUGGGCGUAAAGCGCACGUAGGCGGAUCAGAAAGUAUGGGGUGAAAUCCCAGGGCUCAACCCUGGAACUGCCUCAUAAACUCCUGGUCUUGAGUUCGAGAGAGGUGAGUGGAAUUCCAAG
This 582-nucleotide ribosomal RNA is filed under the name uncultured Alphaproteobacteria bacterium. Its description in RNAcentral is "bacterial SSU rRNA". It matches the Rfam family "Bacterial small subunit ribosomal RNA", at positions 45 to 673 of the family's 1533-position model. Lineage: Bacteria; Pseudomonadati; Pseudomonadota; Alphaproteobacteria. The record is from RNAcentral.